RNAcentral lists this long non-coding RNA (1023 nucleotides) under Canis lupus familiaris (dog). RNAcentral's name for it is "lncRNA (ENSCAFG00040019434.1)". Lineage: Eukaryota; Metazoa; Chordata; Mammalia; Carnivora; Canidae. The record is from RNAcentral.
GUGCAGGGACCCGGGGAGGCGCGCGAGGACCGACCGGUCACCGCUGAAAUUACCUCAUCGCUUCAGCUCCCCGCCCCUUUCCCAAACCUGGAAGAAGCGUCCCUCCGGCCGGAGGCGCCCCCCCCGCCCCCCGCUCGCCAGCCGGUCGCCGGCCGCGCGCCGCCUCCCGGGGCCGCCUCCCCGGGCCGCGCGCAGCCAAGGGUUAAGGGCGCCGGCCGGGCCGUCCGCCGCGCCGUGCGCUCGCGCUGCUCCGAGCCGCCCGCCGCCCGCCGCCCGCCGCGGGGCCCCCCCGCCACCCCCCACCCCCCACCCCCACCCCCAAGUCGGAUCCUUGAGCUGCGGCGGCGGCAGCCAACUGCUCCAUAUUUGGCUUCUAUUACACAUUUACAUACUGGAGCGAGCGAGCGAGCGAGCGAGCGCGAGAGAGCGCGAGGGAGGGAGGGCGGGCGGGCGGAGGGAGGAGGGAGGGGAGGGGAGCGGGGGGGUCGGAGGAGGAGGAGGGCGAGGAGGAGGAGGAGGAGGAGGACGAGAAGGAGGAGGAGGACGGGGAGGAGGAGGAGGAGGAGAGAGCAGAGUGUACCGCAGACAUCAUUUCUACUACAGUGGCGGAGCCGUACAGGACCUGUUUCACUGCAGGGGGAUCACAAAACAAGCCCCGCGGAGCAGCCGCCAGAGCUACAGCAGCCGCAAGACACUGUUUCUCUCCCUCUGCCCCCCCUUCCCCACGCAACCCCAGAUCCAUUUACACUUUACAGAGCAUCGUGCAGCAGCCAGUCCCCAGGGUGGUCCGUUCAAGCUGCGGAUUUGUUUGCCAUCACUCUAAGACAAUCUCCUCCUCCACGGCCACUCCAGGGAAGUGCAUCACAAAUCAGGUCACAGAGAGUGCUGGUGGACAUCUCUCCUUGCCUUAAGAUCUUCGUUGGAAGUCCACGGGACUUGGUGUCUUUGCCGUUCAAAGUAGCUAUGAGCUCGCCAGGAGGCAUAAUGCGUCACCAUUUUAUUCUGGGCCACCCUAAAGGAUGA